AGUGAACGCUGGCGGUAGGCCUAACACAUGCAAGUCGAACGGCAGCACAGUAAGAGCUUGCUCUUACGGGUGGCGAGUGGCGGACGGGUGAGGAAUACAUCGGAAUCUACUUUUUCGUGGGGGAUAACGUAGGGAAACUUACGCUAAUACCGCAUACGACCUACGGGUGAAAGCAGGGGAUCUUCGGACCUUGCGCGAUUGAAUGAGCCGAUGUCGGAUUAGCUAGUUGGUGGGGUAAAGGCCCACCAAGGCGACGAUCCGUAGCUGGUCUGAGAGGGUGAUCGGCCAAAAGGGAACAGAGACACGGUCCAGACGCAUACGGGAGGCAGCAGGAGGGAAUAUUCCGCAAGGGGCGAAAGCCGGACGGAGCAACGCCGGGUGAGUGGUGAAGGUCUUCGGAUAGUAAAACUCUGGUAGUAGGGAAGAACAAAUGUGUAAGUAAAUAUGCACGUCUUGACGGUACCUAAUCAGAAAGCCACGGCUAACUACGUG
RNAcentral lists this ribosomal RNA (492 nucleotides) under uncultured bacterium. Its description in RNAcentral is "partial 16S ribosomal RNA". It matches the Rfam family "Bacterial small subunit ribosomal RNA", at positions 29 to 507 of the family's 1533-position model. The record is from RNAcentral.